AGAGUUUGAUCCUGGCUCAGGAUGAACGCUAGCGGCAGGCCUAAUACAUGCAAGUCGAACGAAUCUAGAGACUUCGGUUUCUAGGUUAGUGGCGCACGGGUGCGUAACGCGUAUGCAACCUACCCUCCACAGGGGGAUAGCCUUCCGAAAGGGAGAUUAAUACCGCAUAAGACCACUGUCCUGGCAUCAGGAUGUGGUCAAAGAUUUAUCGGUGGAAGAUGGGCAUGCGUGCCAUUAGUUAGUUGGUAGGGUAACGGCCUACCAAGACUUCGAUGGCUAGGGGUUCUGAGAGGAUGGUCCCCCACACUGGUACUGAGACACGGACCAGACUCCUACGGGAGGCAGCAGUAGGGAAUAUUGGGCAAUGGCCGAGAGGCUGACCCAGCCAUGCCGCGUGCAGGAAGAAGGCCUUCUGGGUUGUAAACUGCUUUUAUCUGGGAAGAAAACGCCCCUGCGGGGGUAACUGACGGUACCAGAUGAAUAAGCACCGGCUAACUCCGUGCCAGCAGCCGCGGUAAUACGGAGGGUGCAAGCGUUGUCCGGAUUUAUUGGGUUUAAAGGGUGCGUAGGCGGCCCUGUAAGUCAGCGGUGAAAUCCCAGGGCUCAACCCUGGAACUGCCGUUGAUACUGCAGGGCUUGAGUUCGGUUAAGGCGGGCGGAACUGGUGGUGUAGCGGUGAAAUGCAUAGAUACCACCAAGAACCCCGAUUGCGUAGGCAGCUCGCUGAGCCGAAACUGACGCUGAGGCACGAAAGCGUGGGGAGCGAACAGGAUUAGAUACCCUGGUAGUCCACGCCGUAAACGAUGAAUACUCGAUGUUAGCGAUAUACUGUUAGCGUCCAAGCGAAAGCGUUAAGUAUUCCACCUGGGGAGUACGCCCGCAAGGGUGAAACUCAAAGGAAUUGACGGGGGCCCGCACAAGCGGUGGAGCAUGUGGCUUAAUUCGAUGAUACGCGAGGAACCUUACCUAGGCUAGAAUGCCCGUGACCGCCUCAGAAAUGAGGCUU
This 1006-nucleotide ribosomal RNA is filed under the name uncultured soil bacterium. RNAcentral describes it as "bacterial SSU rRNA". It matches the Rfam family "Bacterial small subunit ribosomal RNA", at positions 8 to 1014 of the family's 1533-position model. The record is from RNAcentral.